Molecule: non-coding RNA, 73 nt
Organism: Ameiurus melas (black bullhead)
Lineage: Eukaryota; Metazoa; Chordata; Actinopteri; Siluriformes; Ictaluridae
Source: the annotation of a GenBank genome assembly
GGAACGGUGGUUUAGUGGUUAGGACGUUUGCCUCGCACCUCCAGGGUUGGGGGUUUGAAUCCCGCCUAUGCUC